This 872-nucleotide long non-coding RNA is filed under the name Equus asinus (donkey). Its description in RNAcentral is "lncRNA (ENSEASG00005038429.1)". The record is from RNAcentral. Lineage: Eukaryota; Metazoa; Chordata; Mammalia; Perissodactyla; Equidae.
GUCUGAAUGGCUGGAGCAUGACAGAUGUUUGUGCAUGUGUGACUCCCCACUGGCCCUACCACCGUCCCUGCUAGUCUGUCCCUGUCAGGAACACUCACCUGGGUCCUAGUCAGCAGUAACUGGUGCCCAGGUGGCUUAUGGGAAGUGUCCAGGAAACUGGUGGUGCUCAGUGGAUCUUUCCUGAAUGGACCUCAUAGGCUUCACAUGAAAGAGAAACCGAAGUGUCCUCUCAGCCCCGCCCCACCCUUUCACGCCGGGUGGGGUGAGAGCCAGAACCAUGUAAACCGUCACUGACGCUGAGUCCUCAGGAGACCCUGCGAGGUAGGGGUGAGUUGUCACACUUUCCAGAUGAGGAGGCUGACUCAGGAAGGACAGGCGUUCGGCCCGAGGUCACACAGCGAGAGUGUUGGAGCUAGGAUUGUUCUAGAAUCAGAGUGUGCUGGAGGAUGGAGUAGCAUGGGUACCAGCUGACUUGGUUCAGACGUCCAGGGCUGAGGUCAGAGGGGCUGAGGAGAAGUGGGGUGAGGGGAGGAUGGCCUCCUUGACCCUGUCCUCAAUCCUGGCAGAAGCAGCCCUCCAAGUUUGCCACCCUGCUGAGGACCCUGCAGAGAGGCCGGAAGAGGCAGCAGCAGCAGGGCAUCGUCCCCUUCCUGGGCACCAUGCUAACUGACCUGAUCAUGCUGGACACUGCCAUGGAGGAUUACGUAAAUGGCAAUGAGAUCAACCACGAGAAAAAGAAAAAGGUGAGCAGCUGUGGCCUUCCAUGUCAGGGAGGAGAGGGGCGUGGAAACCAGAGACGCCCCUGGGCGGAACUCUCCUGGGCACCACCCGCUGCAUCUUACAUUUACUGAGAGUGUUGGAUGACAGAGAAU